RNAcentral lists this ribosomal RNA (728 nucleotides) under uncultured organism. RNAcentral describes it as "bacterial SSU rRNA". It matches the Rfam family "Bacterial small subunit ribosomal RNA", at positions 202 to 942 of the family's 1533-position model. The record is from RNAcentral.
AAAAGAUUUAUCGGUUAGGGAUGGGCAUGCGCCCCAUUAGUUAGUAUGGUUAAGGGUAACGGCUAACCANAGACUGUGAUGGGUAGGGGUUCUGAGAGGAUUAUCCCCCACACUGGUACUGAGACACGGACCAGACUCCUACNGGGAGGCAGCAGUAGGGAAUUUUCCGCAAUGGGCGCAAGCCUGACGGAGCAAGACCGCGUGGGGGAUGACGGCCUAAUGGUUGUAAACCCCUUUUCUCUGGGAAGAAGACUGACGGUACCAGAGGAAUCAGCCUCGGCUAACUCCGUGCCAGCAGCCGCGGUAAUACGGAGGAGGCAAGCGUUAUCCGGAAUUAUUGGGCGUAAAGCGUCCGUAGGUGGUUAUUCAAGUCUGCUGUCAAAGCGUGGGGCUUAACUCCAUAGAGGCAGUGGAAACUGAGUGACUAGAGUGCGGUAGGGGUCGAGGGAAUUCCCAGUGUAGCGGUGAAAUGCGUAGAUAUUGGGAAGAACACCAGUGGCGAAAGCGCUCGACUGGGCCUGCACUGACACUGAGGGACGAAAGCUAGGGGAGCGAAAGGGAUUAGAUACCCCUGUAGUCCUAGCCGUAAACGAUGGAUACUAGGUGUUGCUCGUCAUCGACCCGAGCAGUGCCGUAGCCAACGCGUUAAGUAUCCCGCCUGGGGAGUACGCUCGCAAGAGUGAAACUCACAGGAAUUGACGGGGGCCCGCACAAGCGGUGGAGUAUGU